Molecule: ribosomal RNA, 255 nt
Filed under: uncultured bacterium
Lineage: Bacteria
Description: partial 16S ribosomal RNA
Source: RNAcentral
CUGCUGCCUCCCGUAGAAGUUUGAGCCAUAUCUCAGUCCCAAUGUGGCCGUUCACCCUCUCAGGCCGGCUACUGAUCGUUGCCUUGGUAGGCCAUUACCCCACCAACUAGCUAAUCAGACGCGGAACCAUCGUAUACCACCAGAGUUUUUCACACCGCUUCAUGCGAAGCUGUGCGCUUAUGCGGUAUUAGCACCUAUUUCUAAGUGUUAUCCCCCAGUAUACGGCAGGUUUUCCACGCGUUACUCACCCGUCCG